UACGUAGGGGGCUAGCGUUGUCCGGAAUCAUUGGGCGUAAAGAGCGUGUAGGCGGCCCGGUAAGUCCGCUGUGAAAGUCGAGGGCUCAACCCUCGAAUGCCGGUGGAUACUGUCGGGCUUGAGUACGGGAGAGGCGAGUGGAAUUCCUGGUGUAGCGGUGAAAUGCGCAGAUAUCAGGAGGAACACCGAUUGCGAAGGCAGCUCGCUGGAACGUUACUGACGCUGAGACGCGAAAGCGUGGGGAGCAAACAGG
RNAcentral lists this ribosomal RNA (253 nucleotides) under uncultured bacterium. RNAcentral's name for it is "partial 16S ribosomal RNA". It matches the Rfam family "Bacterial small subunit ribosomal RNA", at positions 524 to 776 of the family's 1533-position model. The record is from RNAcentral.